CCUACGGGGGGCUGCAGUCGAGAAUCUUCCGCAAUGGGGGAAACCCUGACGGAGCGACGCCGCGUGCGGGAUGAAGGCCUUCGGGUUGUAAACCGCUGUCACACGUUAUGAAAGAAACGGAGUUAAAAGCUCUGGGUCUUGACAAAGGCGUGGGAGGAAGCCACGGCUAACUUCGUGCCAGCAGCCGCGGUAAGACGAAGGUGGCGACCGUUGUUCGGAAUCACUGGGCAUAAAGAGCUCGUAGGCGGUGAGAAAAGUAGGGUGUGAAAUCCCUCGGCCCAACCGAGGAACUGCGCUCUAAACUGUCUUGCUUGAGGACCGAAGGGGACCACGGAAUUCCUGGUGGAGCGGUGAAAUGCGUUGAUAUCAGGAGGAACACCGGCGGCGAAGGCGGUGGUCUGGUCGGUUUCUGACGCUGAGGAGCGAAAGCUAGGGGAGCAAACGGGAUUAGAUACCCCUGUAGUC
This 465-nucleotide ribosomal RNA is filed under the name uncultured bacterium. RNAcentral describes it as "bacterial SSU rRNA". It matches the Rfam family "Bacterial small subunit ribosomal RNA", at positions 338 to 795 of the family's 1533-position model. The record is from RNAcentral.